UCUCUCCUGCUCCCAUGUGAAGAAGGUUCUUGCUUCCCAUUCGCCUUCUGCCAUGAUUGUAAGUUUCCUGAGGCCUUCACAGCCAUGUGGAACUAAGUCAAUUAAACCUCUUUCCUUUAUAAAUUACCCAGUCUCAGGCAGUUCUUUACAACAGUGUGA
Molecule: long non-coding RNA, 159 nt
Organism: Cebus imitator (Panamanian white-faced capuchin)
Lineage: Eukaryota; Metazoa; Chordata; Mammalia; Primates; Cebidae
Exons: 3
Source: RefSeq, a predicted model, not a curated record